RNAcentral lists this long non-coding RNA (790 nucleotides) under Apteryx haastii (Great spotted kiwi). Its description in RNAcentral is "lncRNA (ENSAHAG00000013599.1)". Lineage: Eukaryota; Metazoa; Chordata; Aves; Apterygiformes; Apterygidae. The record is from RNAcentral.
GUGAGCAGCUGAGGCUGUCAGGAUGACUUGCCCCUGUGYCUCUGUGGUGGCAUGAGGAACGGAGCCUGGAACACCUGAGUCAUGAACUGCCCAGUCCCGUCACAGCCAUCCUCCAUUUUGGUCUCAGUGUAAUUAAGUAAUGCAGAUUAUGCUACCUCUGUCUUUGAAGGCUCAUUGCAAGAGAUCUGAGGAGAGUGAAAGAAGAAGCAACUGUGGAUCUGUAGUCUUAGACUUUCUACCACAGAGUGCAUGCAGCAUUCACUGUAUUUUGGUCUCUUGGGGGACUGCAAGGGUCUUCUUCUCUUGUGAUGCUCCGCAGGUUUUCAGCGCUGUCUGAUCACACAGCCAGCAUCGUCUUUGGCUCUGUUUUCAAGAAGUUCAUUGCGCAAAGUUCUUUGGUCUUGCGUUACCAGCCAGUAUUGCAGUUACCAUCCAAGUUUAGUGGCUGUUUUGUGGGGUACUCCGUUUGGCAAAAAAAAAAAAAAAAACUCUGGAACAAGGUCCGACAAGCACAGGACUUGGAUCACAUCAUUGCGGCUCAUGAGGUUUUUCUGGACACAAUCAUCGCUYGGUGCUUGCUGGAUAGUGACUCCAGGGUAAGUUGUUACCUUUGCGUUAAGCUGUAGCUUUUGUGAUCUUGGCUCAUGGGUUAGCAGUUCUCCUCUGUUAUGUUACAGGAACACUGGGAAAAGUCAUUUUUCCCCCUCUGAUAUAAGACUUGUGGUAGGCUUUGUACCUAGUCCCUGCACACACACGUGGGUGCUGAUUAUAAAACUUGCUGCAAUGAUGU